AUACAGGGGAAGUCGGUGAUCCUAUGCUGCCAAGAAAAUCUUCUAGCGAGGUUCGAGCCGCCCGUACCCCAAACCGACUCAGGUGGUUAGGUAGAGAAUACCAAGGCGAUCGAGUGAAUCGUGGUUAAGGAAUUCGGCAAAAUACCCCCGUAACUUCGGGAGAAGGGGGGCCCAGAGGGUGACGGGACUUGCUCCCCGAGCCUGAACGGCCGCAGAGACCAGGGAGAAGCGACUGUUUACUAAAAACACAGGUCCGUGCCAAGUCGCAAGACGAUGUAUACGGACUGACGCCUGCCCGGUGCUGGAACGUUAAGGGGACCGGUUAGCCUCACGGCGAAGCUGAGAACUUAAGCGCCAGUAAACGGCGGUGGUAACUAUAACCAUCCUAAGGUAGCGAAAUUCCUUGUCGGGUAAGUUCCGACCUGCACGAAUGGCGUAACGAUUUCUCCACUGUCUCAACCACGAACUCGGCGAAAUUGCACUACGAGUAAAGAUGCUCGUUACGCGCAGAAGGACGGAAAGAUCCCGGGACCUUUACUACAGCUUGGUAUUGGUGUUCGGUACGGCUUGUGUAGGAUAGGUGGGAGACUGAGAAGCUGACACGCCAGUGUCGGUGGAGUCAACGUUGAAAUACCACUCUGGUCGUUCUGGAUAUCUAACCUAGGUCCGUGAUCCGGAUCAGGGACAGUGCCUGGUGGGUAGUUUAACUGGGGCGGUUGCCUCCUAAAAGGUAACGGAGGCGCCCAAAGGUUCCCUCAGCCUGGUUGGCAAUCAGGUUUUGAGUGUAAGUGCACAAGGGAGCUUGACUGUGAGACUGACAAGUCGAACAGGGACGAAAGUCGGGACUAGUGAUCCGGCGGUGGCUUGUGGAAGCGCCGUCGCUCAACGGAUAAAAGGUACCCCGGGGAUAACAGGCUGAUCUUGCCCAAGAGUCCAUAUCGACGGCAUGGUUUGGCACCUCGAUGUCGGCUCGUCGCAUCCUGGGGCUGGAGUAGGUCCCAAGGGUUGGGCUGUUCGCCCAUUAAAGCGGUACGCGAGCUGGGUUUAGAACGUCGUGAGACAGUUCGGUCCCUAUCCUCUGCGCGCGCAGGAAACUUGAGAAGGGCUGUCCCUAGUACGAGAGGACCGGGAUGGACGAACCUCUGGUGUGUCAGUUGUUCUGCCAAGAGCACCGCUGAUUAGCUACGUUCGGGAGUGAUAACCGCUGAAAGCAUCUAAGCGGGAAGCAUGCUUCAAGAUGAGGUUUCCAUGGGGUUUACCCCGAGAGGCUCCCAGCUAGACUACUGGGUUGAUAGGCCGGAUGUGGAAGUGCGGUAACGCAUGGAGCUGACCGGUACUAAUAAGCCGAUAACUU
This 1354-nucleotide ribosomal RNA is filed under the name metagenome. RNAcentral describes it as "bacterial LSU rRNA". It matches the Rfam family "Bacterial large subunit ribosomal RNA", at positions 1579 to 2925 of the family's 2925-position model. The record is from RNAcentral.